CGUAGGGUGCGAGCGUUAAUCGGAAUUACUGGGCGUAAAGCGUGCGCAGGCGGUUAUAUAAGACAGAUGUGAAAUCCCCGGGCUCAACCUGGGAACUGCAUUUGUGACUGUAUAGCUAGAGUACGGCAGAGGGGGAUGGAAUUCCGCGUGUAGCAGUGAAAUGCGUAGAUAUGCGAAGGAACACCGAUGGCGAAGGCAAUCCCCUGGGCCUGUACUGACGCUCAUGCACGAAAGCGUGGGGAGCAAACAGGAUUAGAUACCCUGGUAGUCCACGCCCUAAACGAUGUCAACUGGUUGUUGGGUCUUCACUGACUCAGUAACGAAGCUAACGCGUGAAGUUGACCGCCUGGGGAGUACGGCCGCAAGGUUG
Molecule: ribosomal RNA, 370 nt
Filed under: uncultured organism
Description: bacterial SSU rRNA
Rfam family: Bacterial small subunit ribosomal RNA
Source: RNAcentral